AGACAUGUAUAAUUAAUUCUUAAAUACUCUUGAUCAUAGUAUCAUCAUGAGGAUGAUGAUCGAUUUAGAUAGAUCAGUGUAUAGAUCACUUUCUUCGAGAUAGAUGAGUCUCUAAUCUACAGUAUAGGAUACUGAGCGAUGAGUGUGGGUAGUUGUUAGAGAACAACUAGUACUAAAUGUAAUCGUAUGAGAGAUCACUUGGAUUUUUAAUCAAUCAUCAGUGAUCGUCUCGAUGCUAUAGUUGUGUGGAUAGUUCUUUGACCUAUAAUGGUAUGACUACUCAC
RNAcentral lists this long non-coding RNA (284 nucleotides) under Elaeis guineensis (African oil palm). RNAcentral describes it as "long non-coding RNA (EGUI_LNC048411)". Lineage: Eukaryota; Viridiplantae; Streptophyta; Magnoliopsida; Arecales; Arecaceae. The record is from RNAcentral.